This is a long non-coding RNA of Lolium rigidum, 3369 nucleotides long. RefSeq lists it as uncharacterized. The transcript is spliced from 3 exons. NCBI's taxonomy places the organism in Eukaryota, Viridiplantae, Streptophyta, Magnoliopsida, Poales, Poaceae. The record is from RefSeq and is a predicted model, not a curated record.
UCAUGUUUCUGCGGUAGUGGCCGAUGAGAUUGGAGCGGGUUGUGUCUUGUGUGGAUGCUUACCUUGUGCGCAUAUGGGCAUGGUUUCUAGGGAUUUAGGUGCGUGGAUUCGGGAUUUGACUGGCUGGACACAAAUUCGAUUCUGAUUGCGCCGGUCUCUAAUGCAGGCUUAUCUUCUAGGUGUAGUUGUUUUCAAGUUGGAUGGAAUUAGUGUCAUGUUCUUUCAGACAAAAAAUGUGUCUACGGGCCUGCAGUUUAGUACUUUAGGGAUUUCGGUAGCAACAUUGACUUAUUAUGGGUUUUGUUCAGUUUUGAAUUUGUGACUGUGGUAUGUGUGAAAGAAUGUUGGUUGACUGACUAUACACAGCUAAUGUACUAAAUGAAUCUGCUGCCCACUGCUUCCAUACUAUAGUUACCUACAUUUUUCUGGUAGAUUAGAGCUACAAUGUCUGUAUCAUGGCGUGUGGUGUUUUUUUUAGAUUGACACUUGCGAAGUUAGAUCAUGUCAUAUUACCUGUACAGCUGAUGUUCCUAUACAUGCUAUAUCUGUGCUUGCUGUUGUAUAUAAUGAUUAGAUUGAGGUUCUUGCCUCCAGGGGCAAGUCAGAAGAAACCUUCUUUUAAAUCUCAGCUGAAUUUCUGAUUGAGGUUUCUCUUUUAAAUCUCAACCCUGGCAUGCAAUUUUUUUCACGAUUUACAUGACUGUUAGUUGUUUUGAAAUCCUUUUUGCUGGUCCAAAAGGUACGCAACAAGAUAGAACCUUCUUACCAUGAAAAUAGUCACUACUUCUGAUAGUUAAUGGAACUGGUGUUUGGGGCUGCGGCUGCUAUUAGGCUCUGUGGUGUGAUGCAGUGCCAGCUUGCCAUGAGGCUGCCCUUGUUGGCGCUUCUUUGUCGAUGCCCGUGGCCUCAGCCUCUGCGGUGGCUGGUCCAACUGCCUCCCAACACGUUGUUGGUGCUCUCUUUCUUGGCUUCUAGGUUCAAUUGUUGAUGGGACCAUUCUCUUGGUUAGGAGUUGGUGUACUGCUGUUUAGCUUCAUAUUAACCAUGUAUUGACACUAAAUACUUCCUACCCUUGGGUGUAGUUACACCCAUAUCUAAUAUACUACCAUAUAGAAGUAUGUACGAUACUUUAUCGGUUUGAGUAUGUUCUUACACUAUAUCUAAGAUAUUCUAAACCAAGUUUGGUGAACAAAAUGCAAGUGAGCAUGUCGUCUGCACUAUAUAUUUGAAAUACAUGCAUAUGUAUACGCAAAAAAUAAGUUUACGUAAAAAAAUGUACAUACUGCCUAAAAAGUAUUAUAUAUACUACCAAAAUAGUCUGCUGCUUUUCGACCCAACUUCUUCUUUUUUAAUCUUUCGAGAUUCAACCGUGUAAUCUGCACUACAUGUGAACCAAAUACUUUACUGAAUAUUACAUGCACAAACUUCCUAGCAUCCCUUGAGAUUUUGGUUCUAUCUAAUUUUGGUAUAGCUAUCUCUCAAAUUCAUUGCUGCUCAAUCUUCUAAGCCUGGAGAUAAUGAAAGUUUAAUAUUACUAUCAUGGAAAUGUUGUUAUUAAUUGGCAGUCUUGGAUUUAUGUUGGAAUAGUGUUGGCUGGUUGUGCUGGUGCUGAGUUUUGGUGCCGAAUUCAAACUUUUUCUGCUCAAGCGAGCUGUUUUUGCCGUUUGCCUAUAUGGGUGUGCUCAGGUUUUUUAAAUCGGAUGCACGCUAUUGAGCUCUUGAACGAGUUGUUGGUUUCAGUUGCAUUGUAGGUUUUCUUCGGUAUAUCAUUUCUCCAUUUUGUGGUAUGUCUUAUUUAGUUGAGAACCAUUGUACUGCAGGCACAAAGACACAAGCCACAAAACAAACAAAACGUUGGCAGCAAAAAACAGAGCAGCAAAGCGGUAUGUUAACAUAGGGAUAUGCUGAUAUUAUUUGGUAACAAUAUCUGGUAUGUUAUUUCACUGCAUGUAUGUUCUCUCUUUAGUUCAAGGAACCAUCUUGUUUGCUGUUGUGAGUUCGGUUUGUUGACUUGUGUUGUAUUUUCUUCCUCCGUUUCUUAGUAUGCUUCACAUAGGACUUGAAAAGCCAAUUCCUACUCCCUGUUACUGCCAGUUUUUAGAUUUUCUAAAAUAUAUGGAUGGAAAUCAAAGCUUCUGAUCUUGUCCUACUAGAAUUAUCUAAAAUUGAAACUAUAGGAAGUUGGUGCUUCUACAGAUAAUUAUUGCACAAUAUUAACUCCAUAUAUGGUCAUUUUUCUUGUGGAUACAUGGGGUUUAGUUUUAUGAAUUUGCUAUAUACAUGAUUAUCGGAUUACCCUUACCUUCUUUUAGGAAGGUCUUUAUUACCAGUGUUGUUGUGAGAGAACAACAACAUAUUUUGCAUGGGAUUCCUUCAAAUGAACUCUAUCUUAGCAGCUUAUCGCUAGAUGGUAUGACUUACAACAUAAUUGUCCCAAAACUUCGUAAAAACCUUGUGUUGCUGAAGCACUCUAUAUACUUUAGGACCUACGCUCGAUGGGAUAUCAGCUGUAAUAUGGGACUUCAAAUAUUAUAAUUGAUGUGUUGCUUAAGGGUGACAGAAUGUAGAUUUAUUCAUUGUUAUUUUGGGAAAAAGGUUAGCAUAUGAUAUUGUGGCAUACAACGUAUUGGUAUUAAAACCUUAACAAAACAAGGUUUUGCUAGAGGAGCUUGAUGAUAUCUUCGUAUAGAUGAAGCAAAGUUAUCUUCUGACUCACACAUGCUUUAAUUCUGAGUUAGGAGGCUAUUGGGGAGAGGUGAUAUCAGGAGGGUUAAGACGUACUUCUCCUUACCUACAUCUCUUAAGAUAUACAGAAUUGGGACUAGGCAUUCUUGAGCCUUCACAGUGAACUGAAAAUAUAUUUUCUCUGUAUGUGAAGUGUAAAUUUCUAGGUAAAUCCUAGACUGGUAAUUUGAUCUUUUGGAGGCUGGUAAAUGGUUCAAGUGGAGGAACCUCACUCAUUCUUGAGCCUCACUCUGUCAUUGUCUUACCAGACAUAUUUAGAUGGAAAUAAUAUCCACAAAAGGAGGAAUCUCUCACCAAGGCAUAGAGGGAUUGGUCAGAAGUUCAGAGCCUAAAAUCCUCCCGAUUGCCUUGCUGAUUGUACUGAUAGCUUUAAGAGAAGAAUAAGUAAUGUUCUUUCUUAGCUUUUAGUUAUCUGUCAUCGUCUAAUUAUAAGUAGUUAUUGACAGUGCUCCUGAAGUUUUUGCUAUAAUCAAUAACUGAGCAAGAGACCAUUAAGGGGCUUUGAUGUGGACUCUGUAUUAUUGGUAAAUGUGAUUUUAGUUGGAUAAAUCAGCCUGAUACUUCUGCCGCUUUUACACAAUUUUACAUGAAGAUGAUGCAUUAUUAUGAGGUGCUUUUGUUGUA